AACGAACGCUGGCGGCAUGCCUAACACAUGCAAGUCGAACGAGACCUUCGGGUCUAUUUGCGCACGUGUGCGUAACGCGUGGGAACCUGCCCUUAGGUUCGGAAUAACUCCCCGAAAGGGGUGCUAAUACCGGAUAAUGUCUUCGGACCAAAGAUUUAUCGCUUUUGGAUGGGCCCGCGUUGGAUUAGCUAGUUGGUAGGGUAAAAGCCUACCAAGGCGACGAUCCAUAGCUGGUCUGAGAGGAUGAUCAGCCACACUGGGAAUGAGACACGGCCCAGACUACUACGGGAGGCAGCAGUGGGGAAUAUUGGACAAUGGGCGAAAGCCUGAUACAGCAAUGCCGCGUGAGUGAUGAAGGCCUUAGGGUUGUAAAGCUCUUUUACCCGGGAUGAUAAUGACAGUACCGGGAGAAUAAGCUCCGGCUAACUACGUG
This 433-nucleotide ribosomal RNA is filed under the name uncultured bacterium. RNAcentral describes it as "partial 16S ribosomal RNA". It matches the Rfam family "Bacterial small subunit ribosomal RNA", at positions 29 to 507 of the family's 1533-position model. The record is from RNAcentral.